GCGGGGGUGGGAGAGCGGUCAAAUCCGCCACCUUGAGGGGGUGGUCCCUUAGUGGGUACGCGUGUUCAAAUCACGUCCCUCGCA
Molecule: transfer RNA, 84 nt
Filed under: archaeon
Lineage: Archaea
Description: tRNA-Leu
Source: RNAcentral